UUUCUUUCUUCUUCUCUCUAUACGUUGGUGUUCUAACCAAUAAUCACUCAAUCGCUAUUACGAUUCAUUUUCCGACCGAUCAAUAUAUCCAAUGGAUGUUUAAGUGCCGCCCAUAUUAGGGUUAUACUUUGUCGUUCGUCGUUAAUUCGAUGAAUGUUUAAGUAUCGCGCUUUGUCGUUCGUUGUGAGAAUUUGAUCUCGUGAGUUAUCGUAAAAGCUGUAUUGAUCAUUAACCCGGUUUUUGUGAAAUUCGUUAAGGUUCGAAUCUCAUGACUACCGUUAAGGUUUGAUUUGGGUUUUACACCAAUACGUAUUCCAUUCUGUUAAACUAUGUAUUUAACUACCAAAAAUACUCCCAACUACACCCUUACAAUCAAACAAACUAUUAAAUCAUCAGAAGAUCCAGAAUAAUAAAGUGCAUGCUUAAUUAUCGGAAGAAAUAGAAUCAAGAAGUUUGUUAACUCAAUCCUGCAUGCUGAAUUGUAAUUACAGUAGAUUGGAGUAAGGAGUGGAUCCGACACUGAAAGACUUCAAGAAGUGGCUUAUUUUAUUAAUUAAAUCAAAUUAAGAAAUAUUGUUUUUAUUAAAAGCUACCUUUGUAAAACAUGGAAUUUAUUCCAUCUAUUUAAAUAAAAUCCGGUGUUUCUAAACUCUGAUAUUUUCCUAACUCACGGUCCUGAUGAAAUUUCCGCUGCAAUAUUUUUCAAAAUAAUCACCGGUACCACUGGACUGCUCGCGGCUUCCGAUUCCGGCUAGGAUGGGGUCGAGGGUCGUGACAGUAAAGGUGGUAUCAGAGCUAAGCCACUGCUUUAAGCCUAUAAGUGUUGUGAUAACAAUACUUAAGCUUAAAUAAAAGAGUUAGGAGAUUGCUAUUAACUUAACUGGUAGCACAUCUGAUAACAUUUAGACUUGAACAUAAGAAAAGAUGCCUUAGUAUAAGCUAAGCCACUUGUGUACACAAUUAGGUGUUAUAAUAAUACCUAAGCUUAAACGGAAAGUUAGAAACUUAAUAUUAUCUGAUAGCACUCUGAAUGAUAUUUAGACUCGAACUUAAGAAUUUUGUCUUAAUAUAAGCUUCAAGAUAAAAUUAAUUAUAUAAGUAAUAAUAAGUAUAAUUGGUAUUCCAUAAAAAUGACGAUUAGCAGGCAAUAGCACGUAAUUGCUUCUUGCUUAUUGAUAUUAUUUGGUCGAGAAUAAGAUAUGUUAGGGAAAUACAAAUUUCCUUGAUUCUGGAUAAAAGCCCUAAUAAAAAGAGGCACUUUUUGAAAAGAUAUUGUUUAUGGGAAAUAGGAAAUUUUCUCCGGCAAAACUGGGUAUAGAGUAGCAGACUCUCCAGCUUGUCCGGAUAUACUGAAAUUACCGCUCCGGCGCGAACCGGAUAAGACGGGAUAGAUGGUAUGUCAAACCAGUAACAAGAUUUCCCUAAAUAGUAUCAUGACCAAAUAUCUGACUGGUUUUUGGAAAUAUGAAUCUAUUAUAUACAUUUAACCCUAUGAAAGGUAUGUAUAUUACAACAUGUGAAAUAU
RNAcentral lists this long non-coding RNA (1525 nucleotides) under Helianthus annuus (common sunflower). Its description in RNAcentral is "hypothetical non coding rna". The record is from RNAcentral. Lineage: Eukaryota; Viridiplantae; Streptophyta; Magnoliopsida; Asterales; Asteraceae.